Molecule: long non-coding RNA, 321 nt
Organism: Nothoprocta perdicaria
Lineage: Eukaryota; Metazoa; Chordata; Aves; Tinamiformes; Tinamidae
Exons: 3
Source: RefSeq, a predicted model, not a curated record
CAGCGAUGUUGUGAUGGGACUUGUUUCAGUAAAUUGUGAUGAUCUUUAUGAAAGGCUCAAAUUCUUACAAAACUCUCUUGGARCUGUUCCAUCUCCUUUCGACUGCUAUAUGUGCAAUCGUGGUUUGAAGACAUUGCAAUUCCGGAUGAAGCAACAUUUCCACAAUGCGUUGGCUGUUGCUCAAUUUCUCGAGUCAGAUCCUCGGGUGGAGAAAGUCAUUUUCCCGGGGUUGCCUUCACACCCUCAGCAUGAGUUGAUCAAGCGGCAGUGUACUGGCUGUCCUGGGAUGGUAACCUUUUAUAUUAAAGGAAAUCUUGAACA